Molecule: ribosomal RNA, 576 nt
Filed under: uncultured bacterium
Lineage: Bacteria
Description: partial 16S ribosomal RNA
Rfam family: Bacterial small subunit ribosomal RNA
Source: RNAcentral
UGAGGAAUUUUGGACAAUGGGCGAAAGCCUGAUCCAGCAAUGCCGCGUGUGUGAAGAAGGCCUUCGGGUUGUAAAGCACUUUUGUCCGGAAAGAAAUCCUUGGCUCUAAUACAGUCGGGGGAUGACGGUACCGGAAGAAUAAGCACCGGCUAACUACGUGCCAGCAGCCGCGGUAAUACGUAGGGUGCAAGCGUUAAUCGGAAUUACUGGGCGUAAAGCGUGCGCAGGCGGUUUGCUAAGACCGAUGUGAAAUCCCCGGGCUCAACCUGGGAACUGCAUUGGUGACUGGCAGGCUAGAGUAUGGCAGAGGGGGGUAGAAUUCCACGUGUAGCAGUGAAAUGCGUAGAGAUGUGGAGGAAUACCGAUGGCGAAGGCAGCCCCCUGGGCCAAUACUGACGCUCAUGCACGAAAGCGUGGGGAGCAAACAGGAUUAGAUACCCUGGUAGUCCACGCCCUAAAACGAUGUCAACUAGUUGUUGGGGAUUCAUUUCCUUAGUAGCGUAGCUAACGCGUGAAGUUGACCGCCUGGGGAGUACGGUCGCAAGAUUAAAACUCAAAGGAAUUGACGGGGGUCAU